AGUGGAAUGCCGUUGCUUGAGGUAAUUUCUAUGUUAAUCACCAUUAUCAAGUCCUCAUUAUGAUGAGAAUAAAAUAUAAUGUUUCAAUUACAGCAAUUGCAGAAUACUUUCUGGUCUCCACAUGUGUCUGGAAAUCCUGAAUCGAAGAAUUUUGCCUGGGCGUUCCAGGAGUCAGCUGAUAAGAAGCAUGGAAACAAUCCACAAUACAGGACUUACAAGAACAGGACAAGGUAAGGCCAUGCCGAGCGACCUAUUAGAUGUUUCUUUUCGCGCAAGGUGCAUGAGCUGUUAAUAUCCGAGACCUGAAAGUAACAGGUUUUUUUAAUUAAGGAGUACAUCAAGUAAUUUCGAUCUUACAUGUCGCCAGUUGACCAUUUCUGGUGGUAUCUUAGCUUUAUUUCCUUUCACUGAUGUGAGAUUCCUUGUUUUGUCGCAGUCCCUUGAUACCUCUACCUCCAGCAUUGUAUAGAGCGCUUCCAAGUUGGUUCAAGCUGGUGUUCCUUCUUGAACUGCCAUUGUACAAUAAGAAGCUAUCAAGUGGUCAAGAACGAUUGCAAAGCAGCACUGAUGAAGUAGUAUGAUAUCUUCGUCAUGUAUUUCUUAGAUUUUUGAAAAUAUCCUAAUUGGAGUUAAAAUGCCUAGGUGUCUCAUGGUUGUAUUUUUGGCAGUUUUAUGGGUUUCUGUAGAGCUUCUGCUUAAGAGUUACACUUGGGAAUGUUGCACUGGCUUUAAAACAGUAAAAAAUUUGCGAAACAGUUAAGUAAUAAUAUACAAGGAGUCCAGUGUGUACGAGAUUGUAGACGUAAUAUUUGGAGAGCAUGCAAGGGUGUCGAGUAACUCUUAAACUACCUCGAACGAAGACUGCUCAUUGAUAUGGAUAUCAUUAGGCAUGAUUUUCGUACCUGGUCAAUGUGUAGGAUUCCAGGAUUAAUUUUCAGACAGCCUGUGAUUUUAACUUUUAUUUAUAUCUACAUUUACAUCUUUUCAUUGGACGUUGAUAUGGGAUAAUUGUGUUGGAAACAUGAAAAGAGCUAUUAUGAUUUUUUUUUUUCUAGUGUGUAUGGAUGUAAUGUGUAAUCCCUUGAAGUAAGAUAAAAACAAGAACUUCAAAAUAAAUUUAAACAAUUUAAUAAUGUGAUUUUAACCAAGCUACAUUCGUAUCAUAUUCCAUAUCUCACCGAUCUCAUUUCUUCCAACCGACACGAAUUUUAAACACUAUUUCAACACCCCACAAUGUUUGAAUAAAAUCAUAUUAUUUCGCAAGAAUAAGAAAACAAAAAAAGGGCCGAAACUAUAAAAAGUAGUGUCACACAUUGAAAGUAUGCAGAGUAUCACCUCAAUAACCAUUGUUAAGUACACAAGCACAUUGAGCAUAUACCCUACACAGUCGAUCUACUUGGAAUUAAUUUAAUAUCUAAUUUCAUAAUCUGUAGUUGCCAGAGCAAAACCUGUUUGAAGAAAAACGAUGCCACGAAACCAAAGGGUAAAAGAUGGAAAAAGGAAAGAAAAGAAUUGGAUAAUCAGAGGGAAGGGAAAGAAAUGAUAGCGAAAGAAAGAAAGAAAAGUGAAGGAAAGAAAGAAAAGCAAAAGAAAGAAAGGAAAGGGAGGAAAAGAGAGAAAAGCGAGGGAAAGAAAGGAAAGGGAGGGAAAGAGAGAAAAGCGAGGGAAAGAAAGCGAGGGAAGAAAACGAAGGAAACGAAGGUGGUGUUGGGAAAGGCACGACCAAGCAGAGCUCGCGGAGCAUCGAGGGAGGGAGGGAGAGCGAGUGAGGGAGCUCGAUCGAUCACACACAGACACACAGCGGAGCACCGCACGGUGGCCUUACCUCAUUCAGUUCGUGUCGAUCCCUGCACUCUCUGCCAUGCCAUGCGUUCUCAUUCCCUCGUGAUCGCCUCCACGCUUCCCCUCACCCUCUCGCCAUUCCCAUUUUUGCACUGUCUCGCGCCCGCUCAGGAUCA
Molecule: long non-coding RNA, 1958 nt
Filed under: Physcomitrium patens
Lineage: Eukaryota; Viridiplantae; Streptophyta; Bryopsida; Funariales; Funariaceae
Description: long non-coding RNA (PPAT_LNC007919)
Source: RNAcentral